This 1939-nucleotide ribosomal RNA is filed under the name human gut metagenome. Its description in RNAcentral is "bacterial LSU rRNA". It matches the Rfam family "Bacterial large subunit ribosomal RNA", at positions 3 to 1976 of the family's 2925-position model. The record is from RNAcentral.
UCAAGCUAAUAAGAGCGCAGGGUGGAUGCCUUGGCACUAAGAGCCGAUGAAAGACGUGAUAAGCUGCGAAAAGCUUCGGGGAGGAGCAAAUAUCCUUUGAUCCGGAGAUAUCUGAAUGGGGAAACCCGGCUGAGUAAUCCUCAGUCACUGUAUGGUAAAUACAUAGCCAUACAGAGGGAACCCGGUGAACUGAAACAUCUAAGUAGCCGGAGGAAGAGAAAGAAACAUCGAUUCCGGAAGUAGCGGCGAGCGAACCCGGAAGAGCCCAAACCAGCGUGCGUGCAUGCUGGGGUUAAGGACUGCAUAAGUGAGCCGAUCUGUUAAUGGAACUGCCUGGGAAGGCAGGCCAGAGAGGGUGAAAGCCCCGUACAUGAAAACGGUAGGCAGCGGCAGGAUCCAGAGUACCGCGAGACACGAGAAACCUUGCGGGAAGUCGGAGGGACCACCCUCCAAGGCUAAAUACUCCUUAGUGACCGAUAGCGCAUAGUACUGUGAAGGAAAGGUGAAAAGGACCCCGGGAGGGGAGUGAAAGAGAACCUGAAACCCUGUGUUUACAAGCUGUGGAACAUCUUUAUAUGAUGAACCGCGUACUUUUUGUAGAACGGUCCGGCGAGUUACGCGUGCCGGCAAGGUUAAGCACUUAAGGUGUGGAGCCGAAGAGAAAUCGAGUCUGAACAGGGCGUUCAGUCAGCACGCGUAGACCCGAAACCGGGUGAUCUACCCAUGUCCAGGUUGAAGUUGCCGUAAAAGGCAAUGGAGGACCGAACGCACAUCCGUUGAAAAGGGUGGCGAUGAGGUGUGGGUAGGGGAGAAAUUCCAAUCGAACCCGGAGAUAGCUGGUUCUCCUCGAAAUAGCUUUAGGGCUAGCCUCGAUGGAGUCUUACGGAGGUAGAGCACUGAAUUUCUAAGGGGGCGUCAAAGCUUACCAAGGGAUAUCAAACUCCGAAUGCCGUAAAGAUGCUCAUCGGGAGUCAGACUGCACGAGAUAAGUUGGGCAGUCAAAAGGGAAAGAGCCCAGACCUGCUGCUAAGGUCCCAAAGUACGUGUUAAGUGGAAAAGGAUGUGGGAUUUCGAAGACAACUAGGAUGUUGGCUCAGAAGCAGCCACACAUUCAAAGAGUGCGUAAUAGCUCACUAGUCGAGAGGUCCUGCGCCGAAAAUGUCCGGGGCUGAAACACAACACCGAAGCUUAGGAAUGUAGUAAUACAUUGGUAGAGGAGCAUUCUUAAAGGAAUGAAGCAGUACCGGUAAGGAGCUGUGGACUUUUAAGAAGAGAGAAUGCCGGAAUGAGUAGCGAGAUGGAGGUGGGAAUCCUCCAGGCCGAAUAUCCAAGGUUUCCAGAGUAAAGCUGAUCUGCUCUGGGUAAGUCGGGGCCUAAGGUAAGGCUGAGAAGCGUAGCCGAUGGACAACAGGUUGAGAUUCCUGUACCGCGUAUCAUCAGAACUGUGGGGACACAGAAGGACAGCACAUCCCGGGAAUGGAAAGACCGGGGCAAGCAGGGUAGGAGUUAAGCUGGCAAAUCCGCUUAACAAUCCGAAGCUGUGAUGCGGAGCGAAUUUAAGUAGCGAAGUGUGCGAUUCCGGCUGUCAAGAAAAGCCGCUAUUGUGUGAUACGUGCCCGUACCGUAAACCGACACAGGUAGAUGAGGAGAGAAUCCUAAGGCCGGCGGGAGAAGCAUUGUUAAGGAACUCGGCAAAAUGACCCUGUAACUUCGGGAGAAAGGGUGCCUGGGAAACCAGGCCGCAGAGAAUAGGCUCAAGCAACUGUUUAGCAAAAACACAGGUCUAUGCAAAACCGUAAGGUGAGGUAUAUGGGCUGACGCCUGCCCGGUGCUGGAAGGUUAAGAGGAGGGGUUAGCGCAAGCGAAGCUCUGAAUUGAAGCCCCAGUAAACGGCGGCCGUAACUAUAACGGUCCUAAGGUAGCGAAAUUCCUUGUCGGG